This 254-nucleotide ribosomal RNA is filed under the name uncultured bacterium. Its description in RNAcentral is "partial 16S ribosomal RNA". It matches the Rfam family "Bacterial small subunit ribosomal RNA", at positions 524 to 776 of the family's 1533-position model. The record is from RNAcentral.
UACAGAGGUCUCAAGCGUUGUUCGGAUUCAUUGGGCGUAAAGGGCGCGUAGGCGGCGGGGUCAGUCGGGUGUGAAAUCUUGGGGCUUAACCCCGAAACGGCACUCGAAACUGCCCGGCUGGAGGGCCGGAGAGGAGAUCGGAAUUCACGGUGUAGCAGUGAAAUGCGUAGAGAUGUGGAGGAACACCAGUGGCGAAGGCGACUACCUGGCCUGUUUCUUGACGCUGAGGCGCGAAAGCUAGGGGAGCAAACGGG